UACGGGGGGAGCAAGCGUUGUUCGGAUUUACUGGGCGUAAAGGGCGCGUAGGCGGCGUGACUAGUCACUUGUGAAAUCUCCGGGCUUAACUCGGAACGGUCAAGUGAUACUGUCGUGCUAGGGUACAGAAGGGGCAACUAGAAUUCUCGGUGUAGCGGUGAAAUGCGUAGAUAUCGAGAGGAACACCUGAGGUGAAGACGGGUUGCUGGGCCGACACUGACGCUGAGUGCGCGAAAGCCAGGGGAGCAAACGGG
This 254-nucleotide ribosomal RNA is filed under the name uncultured prokaryote. RNAcentral's name for it is "partial 16S ribosomal RNA". It matches the Rfam family "Bacterial small subunit ribosomal RNA", at positions 524 to 776 of the family's 1533-position model. The record is from RNAcentral.